This is a long non-coding RNA of Uranotaenia lowii, 288 nucleotides long. RefSeq lists it as uncharacterized. NCBI's taxonomy places the organism in Eukaryota, Metazoa, Arthropoda, Insecta, Diptera, Culicidae. The transcript is spliced from 3 exons. The record is from RefSeq and is a predicted model, not a curated record.
GAAAAGGUCCUGCAGCAGACUUUGUUCGUUCUGGAAAAAAGCAGUUGGAAAAGUUAUGUCUAGUUUUCGCUAGUACUACACCGAAGACCGCUACUUCUGCCAGUUGUCUCAGGAUUAUUUAUAAGACCUCGAAACAUCGGAAGGUUGGCGUUAGGUUUGCGGAUCAAGUAAAUCCGGGUGUCUUCCAGGAAUUAUAAAAGAACGAAUCCUCGACUGAUCCGGAAACCCCAACCGAACCAGGCACGGAACACGGGUUGUUGCUGAUUUUUUUUGUGAUUAAGUGUUGGA